Molecule: long non-coding RNA, 1096 nt
Filed under: Strigops habroptila (Kakapo)
Lineage: Eukaryota; Metazoa; Chordata; Aves; Psittaciformes; Psittacidae
Description: lncRNA (ENSSHBG00005014027.1)
Source: RNAcentral
GUUCCUCCUCCCCUUCGCUAGCAGCUGCGCUUCGCUCGGGACUGGACCGAGUUAGAGUUGAGACGGCGGAGGAGUAGCGCGGAGUGUGUGCGUCCCCCGCGGGGGGGGGGGUCCGUGCCCGCGAGCCGUGGGGGAGCCGGGCUCCAGCCCAGUUUGGUGCAGCCUUGGCAGAGACCAACAAGGAGAGGGAGCUCCAUUUUUCAGAACACACUGCUUUUGUGGAGGGCAGCAAGCUGAUACAAGAAGAGCAGGUUCCUCACAGGAAAGAAAAUAAAAGCUCUUGGAGCAACUUACUAAGGUAAACAGAUUGCAGUGGAUUUCUGGAUGGGUAAGUAUUGAUGAGCAGGAUAUUCCUACUUCCUCUAUUUACCUUCCUUUAUAAAGGAUUUAUAAAAAAGCACAGAAAACUUUUUAGUCUUUCACAAAAACUCAGUGAUGUCGCUCAUUAGUGUAUACUCCCAAGACAUAGCCAAAUUAUAAUGAAUUACAUCUGUUUUUUCUUGUUGUGUGUAUCAAGAUCGAUUUGACUUACUGUUUUUUAGUACAGAUGUUUUUUAGAGAGACCUUAGGUCCUUCAGCACCUAUUAUGUACUGGUUUGGAAUUACAUGUACAGAAAUUCCUUGAGGUUGCCUUUUAUAUUCUUUUAAAUUCAUGGUAACAUUGACAAUUAUAAAGAACAGAUUCCCCAAACUGAACAAUUACUAAAAGCAAACAGUAACCCCCAGGCAAAGUAGUUGCUGGGGAGGAGCCUGAAGAAGCAUCACUUGCUGUUAAAAAGAAAAGAGAUGAAGUUGUUGAAAGCUGCAGUGGAACAGGAGAUACUAAGUCAAGCUGUCAAAUGAGCUGCCUCUGGUAGUGGAGGUUGCCGCGCACCUUCCGCUGCUCAAUAAUGUAUCUGUUCUCAUCACGUGUAGCAGUUCCAUAUCUCUCUUGCUUACUUCUGUGCUCUAGUUGUAUUGGGGCCACCUAAGGAGCUUUGGCAGUGUGGGGUUGGAGGAAAAUCAGUAAGAUCUCAAAGUUGUUAUGCAGAACAACAUUGGUUUUUUGUUUUUUUUUCUUUGUUGUUAGGCACUUGGAUGUAUGCUUCAGUCUAAU